UCGGGAAUUUUGGGCAAUGGGCGAAAGCCUGAUGGAGCGACGUCGCGUGAUGGACGAAGUGCUUCGGCACGUAAACAUCUUUUAUGUGGGAUGAAAUUAUUGACAGUACCACAUGAAUAAGGGGCUCCUAACUCUGUGCCAGCAGGAGCGGUAAUACAGAGGCCCCAAGCGUUAUCCGGAAUCACUGGGCGUAAAGGGUGUCGAGGCGGUUGUAUUAGUCGUUCGUAAAAUCUACGAGCUUAACUUGUAGGCGGCGAACGAAACGGUACGACUUGAGGUUUGGAGAGGUGCGUGGAACUCACGGUGUAGGGGUGAAAUCCGUUGAUAUCGUGGGGAACACCAAAGGCGAAGGCAGCGCACUGGCCAAAAUCUGACGCUCACACACGAAAGCUAGGGUAGCGAAGAG
Molecule: ribosomal RNA, 406 nt
Filed under: uncultured bacterium
Lineage: Bacteria
Description: bacterial SSU rRNA
Rfam family: Bacterial small subunit ribosomal RNA
Source: RNAcentral